This 456-nucleotide ribosomal RNA is filed under the name uncultured bacterium. RNAcentral's name for it is "bacterial SSU rRNA". It matches the Rfam family "Bacterial small subunit ribosomal RNA", at positions 29 to 507 of the family's 1533-position model. The record is from RNAcentral.
AACGAACGCUGGCGGUAUGCUUAACACAUGCAAGUCGAACGAACAAAAUUGGGGCUUGCUCCAAUUUUAGUGAGUGGCAAACGGGUGAGUAACACGUGGGAAUCUACCUAUCAGUACGGAAUAACAUUUGGAAAACCCCCCCGAUGCUAAUACCGUAUAUUCUCCAAGGAGGAAAGAUUUAUCGCUGAUAGAUGAGCCCGCGCAAGAUUAGGUAGUUGGUAGGGUAAUGGCCUACCAAGCCGACGAUCUUUAGCUGGUCUGAGAGGAUGAUCAGCCACACUGGGACUGAGACACGGCCCAGACUCCUACGGGAGGCAGCAGUGGGGAAUAUUGGACAAUGGGCGAAAGCCUGAUCCAGCAAUACCGCGUGAAUGAUGAAGGCCUUAGGGUUGUAAAGUUCUUUUAGUUGGAAAGAUAAUGACGGUACCAACAGAAAAGACCCCGGCUAACUCCGUG